GUUAGGAAUAUUGGACAAUGGGCGCAAGCCUGAUCCAGCCAUGCCGCGUGAGUGAUGAAGGCCUUCGGGUUGUAAAGCUCUUUAGCCGAUGAUUAUAAUGACUGUAGUCGGAAAAUAAGCCCCGGCUAACUUCGUGCCAGCAGCCGCGGUAAUACGAAGGGGGCGAGCGUUAUUCGGAAUCACUGGGCGUAAAGCGUGCGUAGGCGGCUUUGCAAGUUGGGAGUGAAAGCCCAGGGCUCAACCCUGGAAUUGCUCUCAAAACUGCAAGGCUCGAAUUCGGGAGAGGAUAGCGGAAUUGUCAGCGUAGCAGUGAAAUGCGUAGAUAUUGACAGGAACACCAGUGGCGUAAGCGGCUAUCUGGACCGAUAUUGACGCUGGGGCACGAAAGCGUGGGGAUCAAACAGGAUUAGAUACCCUAGUAGUCCC
This 426-nucleotide ribosomal RNA is filed under the name uncultured bacterium. RNAcentral's name for it is "partial 16S ribosomal RNA". It matches the Rfam family "Bacterial small subunit ribosomal RNA", at positions 354 to 797 of the family's 1533-position model. The record is from RNAcentral.